RNAcentral lists this ribosomal RNA (233 nucleotides) under uncultured bacterium. RNAcentral's name for it is "partial 16S ribosomal RNA". It matches the Rfam family "Bacterial small subunit ribosomal RNA", at positions 28 to 262 of the family's 1533-position model. The record is from RNAcentral.
GACGAACGCUGGCGGCGUGCUUAACACAUGCAAGUCGAGCGGUAAGGCCCUUUCGGGGGUACACGAGCGGCGAACGGGUGAGUAACACGUGGGUGACCUGCCCUCAGCUCUGGGAUAAGCCUGGGAAACCGGGUCUAAUACCGGAUAUGACUCCAUGACGCAUGUUGUGGGGUGGAAAGCCUUGUGCGGCUGAGGAUGGGCCCGCGGCCUAUCAGCUUGUUGGUGGGGNGAAG